GCCUUCCAAGUAAAGCAAGUGGCAAGGCCAUGUUAAUAAGAGAGAAAAAACGAGGCAUGGGGAAAAUGCCUGGAUAGAGAGACACACAGAUGCAGAUACCUGCAAUGUUGGUCUUAUGGAAACCAUCAGAUGCAAUGGGAGGCUACUUGCCAUAGUCUGGAGCUACAGAGAAAAGCAGGCUGCAGAUGGCAAGGUGGAGCCAUCGUGGGAGGAGUUGCUUGUAGACAGGACGCCUAACCAGCUAUUCUUAAAAUGUUGCAUUCUUCCAUUUUAAUCUCACUCAUUAUUGAAUCAUUAGUAAUGAUUUAUAUGACAUUGACUUUUUUCAGAAAUCUUGACUAACUCUUUGACAAGAGAUUAAUAAAGAGUGGGACUUCAGAUGUCAAGUUUUUAUGAGCAAAAGUGUCCAAGGCCAUCUCUAGAUGGGUAUUCUUGGCUGUAUUCACCACGCUCUCCAGA
Molecule: long non-coding RNA, 459 nt
Filed under: Homo sapiens (human)
Lineage: Eukaryota; Metazoa; Chordata; Mammalia; Primates; Hominidae
Description: HSALNT0265240
Source: RNAcentral